This is a long non-coding RNA of Galleria mellonella (greater wax moth), 859 nucleotides long. RefSeq lists it as uncharacterized. The record is from RefSeq and is a predicted model, not a curated record. The transcript has 4 exons. NCBI's taxonomy places the organism in Eukaryota, Metazoa, Arthropoda, Insecta, Lepidoptera, Pyralidae.
UCUGAAAUAUAAGCCAAUGACAUGAGUUUUUAGUUCUCAUUAGUUUCAGUGUUUGUUUCACUUAAGAUUCGCGAAUUUAUACAAAAAAGAUUUAUCAGGUAAUCAGUCAACAUUUUAGAUAACAAAGUUUGUAUAAAAAAUGUACCUAUAAUGCAUUUGUGUACAAUGAAUAUCAUUCUUGUACAAGUACACUUAUGGCUAGAGUCCACGAGUUGGAAUGAGACAUCAGACGUCGCUAUCUUAUUCUAUCUCAUGGACUCUUAUCACUAGCGAAAAGAUUCCAUCAAUGGAUUCGUUUGCAACUUGUCUAUGGGGCCUGAUCCGAUACUGGGCUACGUUUAUCGUUUUGUGUAACGCAGAUAGAAAAGGAAUGCUUUGCAGAUUGAAAUCUGUUCAAGGAUAAGAAAUUUCCCUUUAUUUACUAAGUCCAACAGCUUCAUCGGUUAGGAACUGGCUCACCCGGAUGUCUAAAUCCUUUCGUACUAAUGGUGCUGUAGCCGUGGGCAGCGCAGUAGUUUCUGGUGGUGCCAGUUGUCGUUUUGGAGCACGGAAUCGACGAGCACGUGUCAGUUGCCAGGAUGCUCCGGUGUUUCGUAAUCCUCCAAGAGUUACGCCCAUAUCUUCGUCUACAGCGGCUAAUGCAGGUGAUGGAUGCUCGCAACCGUGCUGGUGCUAUUACUGAUGAAGAAACUGAUGAAGAAUUUUUCUUUAAGCCUGUAAAAAAAAUCAGAUGUUUAUCGGGGCAGGAGCAGAGGUGGUGGUGAAGGCAAGGAUCGAGGGUAUAUCCAUGUCGCGCCGGGUCGAUAUCCUGGAGACGCGGGAACGAGAUAUACUUCGCUCUGUCAUGCGUAUACUCAGA